RNAcentral lists this transfer RNA (72 nucleotides) under Planctomycetota bacterium. RNAcentral describes it as "Planctomycetes bacterium (freshwater metagenome) tRNA-Thr". It matches the Rfam family "tRNA". From Rfam's summary of the family: Transfer RNA (tRNA) molecules are approximately 80 nucleotides in length. Their secondary structure includes four short double-helical elements and three loops (D, anti-codon, and T loops). Lineage: Bacteria; Pseudomonadati; Planctomycetota. The record is from RNAcentral.
GCUGCUGUAGCUCAGUGGUAGAGCACGUCCUUGGUAAGGACGGGGUCAUGGGUCCAACUCCCAUCAGCAGCU